RNAcentral lists this unclassified non-coding RNA (334 nucleotides) under soil metagenome. RNAcentral's name for it is "partial contains 5.8S ribosomal RNA, internal transcribed spacer 2, and large subunit ribosomal RNA". The stretch from base 1 to 120 matches the Rfam family "5.8S ribosomal RNA", at positions 35 to 154 of the family's 154-position model. The record is from RNAcentral.
GAUGAAGAACGUAGCGAAAUGCGAUAAGUAAUGUGAAUUGCAGAAUUCAGUGAAUCAUCGAAUCUUUGAACGCACAUUGCGCCCGCCAGCAUUCUGGCGGGCAUGCCUGUUCGAGCGUCAUUUCAACCAUCAAGCCCCAGGCUUGCGUUGGAGCCCUGCGGCCGCCGCAGCCUCCGAAAUACAGUGGCGGGCUCGCUAUCACACCGAGUGCAGUAGUUUACUCUUCGCUCAGGACGUGUAGCGGGUUCCGGCCGUGAAACCCCCCAAUUUUCAAGGUUGACCUCGGAUCAGGUAGGAAUACCCGCUGAACUUAAGCAUAUCAAUAAGCGGAGGA